GCAAUAGAGGCGCGGAGUGCAGGGUACCUGUCGGAUGAGGUACGGCCCUUGAUGGCCGGCAGGGAAGGGGCGCUCCGCCGAAGGGGGGCGGCGUGCCCGAGCCGCGUCCUUGGCAGCACCGUGUAAGCGGCACUGUUGUCAUGCCCUUUGUGACAUGGAGCGCUAUUGGU
RNAcentral lists this non-coding RNA (170 nucleotides) under bovine gut metagenome. RNAcentral's name for it is "Lysine riboswitch". It matches the Rfam family "Lysine riboswitch aptamer". From Rfam's summary of the family: Riboswitches are metabolite binding domains within certain messenger RNAs that serve as precision sensors for their corresponding targets. The record is from RNAcentral.